CUCUCCAUCUAUUUUUAUUUUAAGUUUUUAACAAAUUUAGCCGCCAGCUCUGUAAGCCCUUGCAGGACCAAUGGUUGUCGGCGUCCUCGCUCUUCAGGGUUCUUUCAACGAACACGUUGCAGCGCUUAGAAGAUUGGGAGUGAAGGGAGUGGAGAUAAGGAAGCCAGAGCAGCUUCAGAAUGUCAGUUCUCUUAUUAUUCCUGGUGGCGAAAGCACUACUAUGGCUAAGCUCGCCGAGUACCAUAACUUGUUCCCUGCGUUGCGCGAGUUUGUUAAGACGGGUAAACCUGUUUGGGGCACAUGUGCAGGUCUCAUCUUCUUGGCAGACAAGGCUAUUGGGCAGAAAACAGGAGGACAAGAAUUGAUUGGUGGCAUAGAUUGCACUGUCCAUAGAAAUUACUUUGGCAGUCAGAUUCAAAGCUUCGAGGCAGAGCUUUCGGUACCAGAACUUGUAUCUAAGGAAGGUGGGCCUGAAACAUUCCGUGGAGUUUUCAUCCGUGCUCCUGCAGUACUUGAAGUUGGGCCUGGAGUUGAAGUGCUGGCUGAGUAUCCGGUCUCAUCUACCAGUGUUCUGUAUUCAAGUUCUGCUGUUCAAAUCCAGGAGGAAAAUGCUGUACCUGAAAAGAAAGUCAUCGUAGCUGUAAAGCAAGGGAAUUUGCUAGGGACUGCCUUCCAUCCUGAACUGACAUCAGAUACUCGAUGGCAUAGUUACUUCUUGAAAAUGGGAAGUGAGGCUCAAGAAGAAUCUCCAAGCAGCAUUGUCCCAGUUGGAGGAGUAGAUCCAAGCUUCAACGAAAAAGCAAGGAUUGAUCUUCCUAUCUAUCAAUAGUAGCAAUGAGAUACAAAUAUGAGCAUCUUUAUCAUCUUUUUAAUUGGUAUUUUCCUUUUGAAGACGCAGAAAGAAAUUGAUUUUCCUUUUGCCUAAAGUUAAUUGUUACUUUGAUAUCAGGCAUGUGUUGGAGGUCAGUCUAUUCUCUUAGGUUGAAAGUUGAGAUUACAAAUCAGAUGAUAGAUACACAUUCAUGCAUCCCACCUGUAAAUAUAAUGUUCAAAUGAAGUAAGCUUUUCUAUUUAAAAAAAAAAAAUCAAUUUCUUUCUGCGUCUUCAAAA
This 1110-nucleotide unclassified non-coding RNA is filed under the name Hevea brasiliensis (rubber tree). The record is from RNAcentral. Lineage: Eukaryota; Viridiplantae; Streptophyta; Magnoliopsida; Malpighiales; Euphorbiaceae.